CUUCCAUACAAUAAAUAUAGUUGACCUAUUACUUAUAGUUUACGAAAAACAGACCAAAACACAAAAACUUAACACUGUGCAAUGAACCGUGAAAUUGAGAUCAUGGUCAAAUAAAACCUGCGGGACUUACAUAUAGAUCAUAAAAUAUCCAUACACCAAAUAUAGUUGACCUUUGGCAUAUAAUAUUAGAUAAAAAGACCAAAACUCAAAAACUUAACUUUGACCACUGAACCAUGAAAAUGAGGUCAAGGUCAGAUGACAUCUGCCCGCUAGACAUGUACACCUUACAAUCAUUCCAUACAACAAAUAUAGUAUACUUAUUGCACAAAGUAUGGGAAAAAAAGACCAAAACACAAACACUUAACUAUAACCACUGAACCAUGAAAAUGAGGUCAAGGUCAGAUGAACUAUGCCAGGCAGACAUGUACAGCUAACAAUGCUUCCAUACAAUAAAUAUAGUUGACCUAUUACUUAUAGUUUACGAAAAACAGACCAAAACACAAAAACUUAACACUGUGCAAUGAACCGUGAAAUUGAGGUCAUGGUCAAAUAAAACCUGCGGGACUUACAUAUAGAUCAUAAAAUAAUUCCAAACACC
This 598-nucleotide long non-coding RNA is filed under the name Mytilus galloprovincialis (Mediterranean mussel). Lineage: Eukaryota; Metazoa; Mollusca; Bivalvia; Mytilida; Mytilidae. The record is from RNAcentral.